AGUGAACGCUGGCGGUAGGCCUAACACAUGCAAGUCGAACGGCAGCACAGUAAGAGCUUGCUCUUACGGGUGGCGAGUGGCGGACGGGUGAGGAAUACAUCGGAAUCUACUUUUUCGUGGGUGAUAACGUAGGGAAACUUACGCUAAUACCGCAUACGACCUACGGGUGAAAGCAGGGGAUCUUCGGACCUUGCGCGAUUGAAUGAGCCGAUGUCGGAUUAGCUAGUUGGCGGGGUAAAGGCCCACCAAGGCGACGAGCCGUAGCUGGUCUGAGAGGAUGAUCAGCCACACUGGAACUGAGACACGGUCCAGACUCCUACGGGAGGCAGCAGUGGGGAAUAUUGGACAAUGGGCGCAAGCCUGAUCCAGCCAUACCGCGUGGGUGAAGAAGGCCUUCGGGUUGUAAAGCCCUUUUGUUGGGAAAGAAAAGCAGCAGGUUAAUACCCCGCUGUUCUGACGGUACCCAAAGAAUAAGCACCGGCUAACUUCGUG
Molecule: ribosomal RNA, 492 nt
Filed under: uncultured bacterium
Lineage: Bacteria
Description: partial 16S ribosomal RNA
Rfam family: Bacterial small subunit ribosomal RNA
Source: RNAcentral